RNAcentral lists this ribosomal RNA (618 nucleotides) under uncultured bacterium. RNAcentral's name for it is "bacterial SSU rRNA". It matches the Rfam family "Bacterial small subunit ribosomal RNA", at positions 338 to 944 of the family's 1533-position model. The record is from RNAcentral.
CCUACGGGAGGCAGCAGUGGGGAAUAUUGGACAAUGGGCGCAAGCCUGAUCCAGCAAUACCGCGUGUGUGAAGAAGGCCUUCGGGUUGUAAAGCACUUUAAGCAGGGAAGAAAAAACUCAAACUAAUAUUUUGAGUCUUGACGGUACCUGAAGAAUAAGCACCGGCUAACUCUGUGCCAGCAGCCGCGGUAAUACAGAGGGUGCAAGCGUUAAUCGGAUUUACUGGGCGUAAAGCGUGUGUAGGUGGUUGGGAAAGUCAAUUGUGAAAUCCCCGGGCUUAACUCGGGAACUGCUUUUGAUACUGUCUGACUAGAAUUCGGUAGAGGGAGGCGGAACUCCAGGUGUAGCGGUGAAAUGCGUAGAUAUCUGGAAGAACACCAAUGGCGAAGGCAACCUCCUGGGCCUGAAUUGACACUGAGACGCGAAAGCGUGGGGAUCAAACAGGAUUAGAUACCCUGGUAGUCCACGCCGUAAACGAUGACAACUUGACGUCGGUUUGCUCUGCGAAUCGGUGUCGUAGCUAACGCGAUAAGUUGUCCGCCUGGGGAGUACGGCCGCAAGGUUGAAACUCAAAUGAAUUGACGGCUGGAGAGUGCGAGACGACGACGAGGGAGGAGG